GAAUGACAACCUCGAGCAGUUUCCAGUACUGGAUUGAAAAGAUGGCCUUUGCUGCAUCUCCUUGAGCAAGGAAAGCCAAGAAACCUUUGCUUUGGAAGGAGAAAAUCUAGAAAGCAGGAAGGAAGAAAAGCAGCCCCCUGACUCCUCCCUGAGCCCCAGACAGCCCAUGAACUGCCUUGCUGGGAAUGGUAGGACAGGAUGGACUCUGAAUUGCUCCCUCUGGAUGUGUGGAACUCCAGGAACUCCUGGUGCCGCCUGGGCCGAUGGAUUGGACGCCCCAGCCCCUCCGUUCCUGCUCAGCCCCUGGGUCUGUGUCCAGUGGUGGCACUGCCAGCCCUGCAGUGGGAUGUAGCCUGGAAAGUGCACAGAGCUGAGCCAAGGGAUUGAAGGGGACCAACCAAGGGAGGUGAAGAAAGAAGGCAGAAGGGAAGUGAGGCAGCAGCCAAGCAGCACCAAGUUGCUGUGUAAGCAGGUGAGUUGUCUUGAGGUUCCUCAGGCAGGCACUGAGGACUUGGAGGGCUCCAGACAGAACAGACCUGGGAAGUCCUUCCAAAACCUUCUAAGGGUAGGUGUGUAUGGUUAUAAGUGUUGGAGAAUGUCCUGAGUAUGGAAUAGGAAUGCAGGGAACGAAAAUGAACCCUCCUGUAAUGCUGCCAUAUCAGCUGCAGUGGAGAUAGCUCUGUGUGCCCUUUGGGAUCUGAUUGCCAGGGCCUCUGGUGGGCUGGAAUGAUUCAAGAGCAUAGGAAUAAAAGGUUGCCUGGCUUCUAAAACUCACCAGCUGAGUCUUAGAGGUUCCUUUGAAGAGCUGUUUUCAGGCAAGAAAAUUGGCCCCCCAGGAGGGACUCUGUGCCUGCUCUCCCGUGGCUCCAAGGGAUCUCUGGCCCUUCACGCCGGCACC
Molecule: long non-coding RNA, 898 nt
Organism: Lepidothrix coronata (blue-crowned manakin)
Lineage: Eukaryota; Metazoa; Chordata; Aves; Passeriformes; Pipridae
Exons: 3
Source: RefSeq, a predicted model, not a curated record